AUACGGAGGAUCCGAGCGUUAUCCGGAUUUAUUGGGUUUAAAGGGUGCGCAGGCGGCCAUUUAAGUCAGCGGUUGAAUCGUGGGGCUCAACCCCAUUCUGCCGUUGAUACUGGGUGGCUUGAUUGCGGUCGAGGUUGGCGGAAUUCGUUGUGUAGCGGUGAAAUGCAUAGAUAUGACGAAGAACACCGAUUGCGUAGGCAGCUGACCAGACCGCAAAUGACGCUCAUGCACGAAAGUGCGGGGAUCGAACAGGAUUAGAUACCCUGGUAGUCCGCACAGUAAACGAUGAAUACUUGUUUUCGGCGAUAUAAUGUCGGAGGCAAAGCGAAAGCGAUAAGUAUUCCACCUGGGGAGUACGCCGGCAACGGUGAAACUCAAAGGAAUUGGCGGGG
This 392-nucleotide ribosomal RNA is filed under the name uncultured bacterium. RNAcentral's name for it is "partial 16S ribosomal RNA". It matches the Rfam family "Bacterial small subunit ribosomal RNA", at positions 523 to 918 of the family's 1533-position model. The record is from RNAcentral.